AUUUGUCGAUUGUGUGUCACAUUCGCUUAACACUCGUGAUGUAGUAGUUGGUG
RNAcentral lists this small RNA (53 nucleotides) under Plasmodium falciparum 3D7. RNAcentral describes it as "Pfa-rasR6368". Lineage: Eukaryota; Apicomplexa; Aconoidasida; Haemosporida; Plasmodiidae. The record is from RNAcentral.